UCAAACUUCGAGACUGUAAAGGCCGUUAAAG
This 31-nucleotide non-coding RNA is filed under the name Rattus norvegicus (Norway rat). Lineage: Eukaryota; Metazoa; Chordata; Mammalia; Rodentia; Muridae. The record is from RNAcentral.